CUCUGCCUACGGGGCGCAGCAGUGGGGGAUAUUGCACAAUGGGGGGAACCCUGAUGCAGCGACGCCGCGUGAGCGAAGAAGUAUUUCGGUACGUAAAGCUCUAUCAGCAGGGAAGAAAAUGACGGUACCUGACUAAGAAGCCCCGGCUAACUACGUGCCAGCAGCCGCGGUAAUACGUAGGGGGCAAGCGUUAUCCGGAUUUACUGGGUGUAAAGGGAGCGUAGACGGCAGCGCAAGUCUGGAGUGAAAUCCCAUGGUUUAACCAUGGAACUGCUUUGGAAACUGUGCAGCUGGAGUGCAGGAGA
This 305-nucleotide ribosomal RNA is filed under the name uncultured bacterium. Its description in RNAcentral is "bacterial SSU rRNA". It matches the Rfam family "Bacterial small subunit ribosomal RNA", at positions 332 to 655 of the family's 1533-position model. The record is from RNAcentral.